Molecule: ribosomal RNA, 615 nt
Filed under: uncultured Gammaproteobacteria bacterium
Lineage: Bacteria; Pseudomonadati; Pseudomonadota; Gammaproteobacteria
Description: bacterial SSU rRNA
Rfam family: Bacterial small subunit ribosomal RNA
Source: RNAcentral
GUAGUCCACGCCGUAAACGAUGUCGACUUGGAGGUUGUGCCCUUGAGGCGUGGCUUCCGGAGCUAACGCGUUAAGUCGACCGCCUGGGGAGUACGGCCGCAAGGUUAAAACUCAAAUGAAUUGACGGGGGCCCGCACAAGCGGUGGAGCAUGUGGUUUAAUUCGAUGCAACGCGAAGAACCUUACCUACUCUUGACAUCCAGAGAACUUAGCAGAGAUGCUUUGGUGCCUUCGGGAACUCUGAGACAGGUGCUGCAUGGCUGUCGUCAGCUCGUGUUGUGAAAUGUUGGGUUAAGUCCCGCAACGAGCGCAACCCUUAUCCUUUGUUGCCAGCGGUUCGGCCGGGAACUCAAAGGAGACUGCCAGUGAUAAACUGGAGGAAGGUGGGGAUGACGUCAAGUCAUCAUGGCCCUUACGAGUAGGGCUACACACGUGCUACAAUGGCGCAUACAAAGAGAAGCGACCUCGCGAGAGCAAGCGGACCUCAUAAAGUGCGUCGUAGUCCGGAUUGGAGUCUGCAACUCGACUCCAUGAAGUCGGAAUCGCUAGUAAUCGUAGAUCAGAAUGCUACGGUGAAUACGUUCCCGGGCCUUGUACACACCGCCCGUCACACCAU